AGGAGGGUAAAGAGCCAACUAAUAGCAGUGAUGCUCCUGAGAAUAAUCCACAGUACACAACAGUUUAUGUUGGCAACCUAGCCCCAGAAUUGGAUAGAAAACCUUCCAAAUGUGUGGUUUUUGAAGACGACCCUGGAGGUAUAACCGCCGCUCAUGCAUUACUUUAACGACACACUUAUGAAUAAUGUAAUUUAAAAUUUCCAACCCGGGUUUCUACCCGGGUGAUACUACCAAAUGGCACCGACAGGGAGAUUUACAUCGGUUUACAAAAUUUGUAUGGCUACAACUACUUGAGAUUUAAUAGCUUUAACGGGGAAAUACCCAGGAGCUUGCUAAUCUUCCAGAGCUACAGUAUCUUUAUCUGCACCAAUAUCGACUCAUUGGACAUAUACCACAAGAAUUGGACUCCUUACGAAAGCUUCACCAUUUGUACAGUUCAUCUUUCUUACUAUUGCUCUGUUACAUUUAUAAAUUUAAAUGGCACUGAUGAUCUGAGUGAGAAAUUUAUUU
This is a long non-coding RNA of Helianthus annuus (common sunflower), 510 nucleotides long. RefSeq lists it as uncharacterized. Lineage: Eukaryota; Viridiplantae; Streptophyta; Magnoliopsida; Asterales; Asteraceae. The record is from RefSeq and is a predicted model, not a curated record. The transcript is spliced from 2 exons.